RNAcentral lists this ribosomal RNA (468 nucleotides) under uncultured bacterium. Its description in RNAcentral is "partial 16S ribosomal RNA". It matches the Rfam family "Bacterial small subunit ribosomal RNA", at positions 28 to 507 of the family's 1533-position model. The record is from RNAcentral.
GACGAACGCUGGCGGCGUGCUUAACACAUGCAAGUCGAACGGAAAGGCCCUGCUUUUGUGGGGUGCUCGAGUGGCGAACGGGUGAGUAACACGUGAGUAACCUGCCCUUGACUUUGGGAUAACUUCAGGAAACUGGGGCUAAUACCGGAUAGGAGCUCCUGCUGCAUGGUGGGGGUUGGAAAGUUUCGGCGGUUGGGGAUGGACUCGCGGCUUAUCAGCUUGUUGGUGGGGUAGUGGCUUACCAAGGCUUUGACGGGUAGCCGGCCUGAGAGGGUGACCGGCCACAUUGGGACUGAGGUACGGCCCAGACUCCUACGGGAGGCAGCAGUGGGGAAUAUUGCACAAUGGGCGGAAGCCUGAUGCAGCAACGCCGCGUGCGGGAUUACGGCCUUCGGGUUGUAAACCGCUUUCGCCUGUGACGAAGCGUGAGUGACGGUAAUGGGUAAAGAAGCACCGGCUAACUACGUG